UUUCCGUAGGUGAACCUGCGGAAGGAUCAUUAACACAAAAAUUUUAUCCACCUUUUUUAUCGAUGGACAAAAAAGAAGAAUUUUAUUCUUUUUUUUUUUGUUCACUCGGUAAAAAAAGCACCGUGAUAUGUUGAAGUCCUUAACCUCAUUUUUUUUUUUAAUAGAGGUCAUUUAAGAACCCUUUCACCAUAAUUAAUAAUUAAAAUUUUGUUUUUUUUAUUUUUAUUUGUAAAAAGAUAGAAAUUUAUAAAAACAAAAACAAAAAAAAAGAAAACCGAGACACAACUUUUAACAACGGAUAUCUUGGUUCUC
RNAcentral lists this unclassified non-coding RNA (312 nucleotides) under plant metagenome. Its description in RNAcentral is "partial contains small subunit ribosomal RNA, internal transcribed spacer 1, and 5.8S ribosomal RNA". The record is from RNAcentral.